This 1030-nucleotide long non-coding RNA is filed under the name Marmota monax (woodchuck). Lineage: Eukaryota; Metazoa; Chordata; Mammalia; Rodentia; Sciuridae. The record is from RNAcentral.
UUGUGUCAGGGCAGUGGCAUAGUUUCCCAAAGACCAAAAAAAUACCUGGAGAGUGCAUACGAGAAAAAUGUCCUUAUUGAGAAAUGCCUAUGGGGAGGGUCCAGCAGUGACAGGCUGAACCACAGCACCUCCCUCCCUCACACUGCUUUGCCAAGCAGGGCUUCCUCCUCCUCAGGACAUUUUGUCUUUGAACCUUGGUGGGAUGAGUGACACUUAUCCUUUCCACAGUGCCCUCAGUUCUAUCCCUGCCACCAAGAAGAGAAAGGUUUUAAUCUGAUUUUUUAAUUUGUUCUUUUUAGUUAGUUAUACAUGACAGCAGAGUCUAUUUUGACAUGUUUAUACAAACAUAGAGUGCAUCUUUUCCUAAUUAGGAUCCCAGGCUUGUGGAUGUACAUGAUAUAGAGAUUCAUUUUGAUGUAUUCACAUAUGAAUAUAGUAAAGUUAAGUCAGAUUCAUUCCACUGAUUUUCCCAUUCCCUUUCCCCUUCCCUUUUCUUCAUUCCCCAUUGUCUAAUCCUCUGAAGUUCUAUUCUUCCUUUCCUUUCCCCCCUGUAUGUGUUAGCAUCCAAAUAUCAGAACAUUUGACCUUUGGUUUAUUGGAACUGCUUAUUUUACUUAGCAUGAUAGUUUCCAGAUCCAUCCAUUUACUGACAUAUGUCAUAAAUUCAUUCCUAUUUAUGUCUGAGUAAUAUUCCUUUGUGCAGAUAUACCACAUUUUCUUUAUGCAUUCAUGUUGUGGGCCACAACCAAGUCAAGAUGGUGCCUGGAAGUUUGCCAGGAGGAGUGUUUUUUGAAGUAAUGCCAGGGAGACAUUAAGAUGAUGAGGAUUCUUUAAUGACUGACUGCUCUAUCUAGAUGAUGUUAAUUAAGUUAAGCUGUGUGUAAUUAGUUGGGUAUAUAUACCUCUGCUGUCUCGUAAUAAAAUGGCUCCUUUUGUUUCAAUCUUCACAAGUUGCUUGUCACCUCCCGGUUAUUUGCCCAGCCAGACUGCGGCAGAUGGUGGCCCAUAAGGGGAGCCCUGGGAUGCUUGG